CCCAUGCGGGUGCUAAUACAUGCAGUCGAGCGGACAGAUGGGAGCUUGCUCCCUGAUGUUAGCGGCGGACGGGUGAGUAACACGUGGGUAACCUGCCUGUAAGACUGGGAUAACUCCGGGAAACCGGGGCUAAUACCGGAUGGUUGUUUGAACCGCAUGGUUCAAACAUAAAAGGUGGCUUCGGCUACCACUUACAGAUGGACCCGCGGCGCAUUAGCUAGUUGGUGAGGUAACGGCUCACCAAGGCAACGAUGCGUAGCCGACCUGAGAGGGUGAUCGGCCACACUGGGACUGAGACACGGCCCAGACUCCUACGGGAGGCAGCAGUAGGGAAUCUUCCGCAAUGGACGAAAGUCUGACGGAGCAACGCCGCGUGAGUGAUGAAGGUUUUCGGAUCGUAAAGCUCUGUUGUUAGGGAAGAACAAGUACCGUUCGAAUAGGGCGGUACCUUGACGGUACCUAACCAGAAAGCCACGGCUAACUACGUGCCAGCAGCCGCGGUAAUACGUAGGUGGCAAGCGUUGUCCGGAAUUAUUGGGCGUAAAGGGCUCGCAGGCGGUUUCUUAAGUCUGAUGUGAAAGCCCCCGGCUCAACCGGGGAGGGUCAUUGGAAACUGGGGAACUUGAGUGCAGAAGAGGAGAGUGGAAUUCCACGUGUAGCGGUGAAAUGCGUAGAGAUGUGGAGGAACACCAGUGGCGAAGGCGACUCUCUGGUCUGUAACUGACGCUGAGGAGCGAAAGCGUGGGGAGCGAACAGGAUUAGAUACCCUGGUAGUCCACGCCGUAAACGAUGAGUGCUAA
RNAcentral lists this ribosomal RNA (800 nucleotides) under Bacillus tequilensis. RNAcentral describes it as "bacterial SSU rRNA". It matches the Rfam family "Bacterial small subunit ribosomal RNA", at positions 34 to 819 of the family's 1533-position model. The record is from RNAcentral. Lineage: Bacteria; Bacillati; Bacillota; Bacilli; Caryophanales; Bacillaceae.